Marmota flaviventris (yellow-bellied marmot) is the source of this 789-nucleotide non-coding RNA. NCBI's taxonomy places the organism in Eukaryota, Metazoa, Chordata, Mammalia, Rodentia, Sciuridae. The record is from RefSeq and is a predicted model, not a curated record.
CCUUACCCAACGCUGCCCAACCGCCAGGGGCCUUCUUCUCGGAGUCUCCGGGCACCGCCCAAUCGCCGGUCCCCGUCUUCCGGGGUGGCCAAUGAGCGUCGACCGACUGCUAACGAUUUGUGAAAUUCCCAACGUCCUAGAGAGGCCUCAUCUGAGUCUGAUUGCGACACAACCCGGGGUUCUUCCACCAGAUUCUCACCGCACAGGAUCUGAGUUUGGGAGGGAGUGGUGGGGGUCCUGAGUUCAAACACCAGAGGUCAAAGACCAGGGCAGGUGCAGCCUCGGACUUCUUUGUUGCACGGUAUCCUGGAGAAAUUGGGCCGAGCCGAAGUUGGGAAGAGGUUGGGCAUGUUGAUCUUCAUUUCGUCUGAGUUUUGUAUGCUUCUUCCCGGAGGAGUGGAGGUGUCCGCUAACCGCAGAAAGGGUUCACCAUUGAGGCUCCAUUGCAGGACGCCAUAAAUCCACCUUAACUUGCUUGGUGGGGCCGGUUUAGCUUCCCUCUUUGUUCGGGACUCCCAGGAGCCACUAUCAGGAGGAGCCUGACUGAUGCAGACCGUAAAUACUUAGGGUUCAGGGAUGGGAUCUCGAGGCUUGGAGAAACUGCAUCAUGGGUUUUUAGCAGGAGCCAGACUGUUGGUGGUGAAAAAGUGAGCAUAUACCGUCUUCUCGCACUGUGAAGGCGCCCUCAGCACCUAAUCAAAGUCCAUGCCUCCGCUAGUUCUUCCCCAGAAGAACUAUUCCCUGUUCCAAAGCAAACCUUGUUUUCUUAAUAAAACAAGAGAGCCUGAA